AUUGAACGCUGGCGGCAUGCUUUACACAUGCAAGUCGAACGGUAACAGGCCGCAAGGUGCUGACGAGUGGCGAACGGGUGAGUAAUGCAUCGGAACGUGCCCAGUCGUGGGGGAUAACUAUCCGAAAGGAUAGCUAAUACCGCAUACGAUCUGCGGAUGAAAGCGGGGGACCUUCGGGCCUCGCGCGAUUGGAGCGGCCGAUGUCAGAUUAGGUAGUUGGUGGGGUAAAGGCUCACCAAGCCAACGAUCUGUAGCUGGUCUGAGAGGACGACCGGCCACGCUGGGACUGAGACACGGCCCAGACUACUAGGGGAGGAAGCAGUGGGGAAUUUUGGACAAUGGGCGCAAGCCUGUUCCAGCAAUGCCGCGUGCAGGAAGAAGGCCUUCGGGUUGUAAACUGCUUUGGUACGGAACGAAACGGCUCUGGUUAAUACCUGGGGCUAAUGACGGUACCGUAAGAAGAAGCACCGGCUAACUACGUGCCAGCAGCCGCAGUAA
This 498-nucleotide ribosomal RNA is filed under the name uncultured bacterium. RNAcentral describes it as "partial 16S ribosomal RNA". It matches the Rfam family "Bacterial small subunit ribosomal RNA", at positions 29 to 523 of the family's 1533-position model. The record is from RNAcentral.